This 391-nucleotide unclassified non-coding RNA is filed under the name Hevea brasiliensis (rubber tree). The record is from RNAcentral. Lineage: Eukaryota; Viridiplantae; Streptophyta; Magnoliopsida; Malpighiales; Euphorbiaceae.
ACUAAAGAAAGAGGGAGGAGAAUAAAAUUACAACCAAAAUAAAAUACAAAGAAAAUGCUAACUAAUCCAUUUGGCUUUCUUAGGGUUUCAAAACCCUAAUUUCAUUUGAAGGGGGCCGAGGCCCUUGUUUGGUCUCCUUUGGGCCAAUGCCUCCAUAUGCCAUCAUCACUUCUCUUCAAACCUCCAAGGAACGCACAAACUUCAUAGAAUUGCCAAAGGGACACUUAAUUGACACUUAUACAAAGAUUAGUACACAAAAGUAACAAAUUAUAUUAAACCGGUAACUGCUCAAUUCAAGAUGUAUAAAACAUGCUUAAAACGACCAAAAUAUAUAAAAUUAAUCUAAACCAAUAGAUUUAGAUAAAAAAUACACAAAGGAACAUAGAAUAGA